UACGGAGGGGGCUAGCGUUGUUCGGAAUUAUUGGGCGUAAAGGGCGCGUAGGCGGCCGGACAAGUCUGACGUGAAAUCCCUCGGCCCAACCGGGGAACUGCGUUUGAAACUGUUCGGCUCGAGUCCGGGAGAGGGUAGUGGAAUUCCCAGUGUAGCGGUGAAAUGCGUAGAUAUUGGGAGGAACACCGGUGGCGAAGGCGGGUUGCUGGGCCGACACUGACGCUGAAGUGCGAAAGCUAGGGGAGCGAACGGG
This 253-nucleotide ribosomal RNA is filed under the name uncultured bacterium. Its description in RNAcentral is "partial 16S ribosomal RNA". It matches the Rfam family "Bacterial small subunit ribosomal RNA", at positions 524 to 776 of the family's 1533-position model. The record is from RNAcentral.